This 645-nucleotide ribosomal RNA is filed under the name uncultured Bacillota bacterium. RNAcentral describes it as "uncultured Firmicutes bacterium partial 16S ribosomal RNA". It matches the Rfam family "Bacterial small subunit ribosomal RNA", at positions 265 to 916 of the family's 1533-position model. The record is from RNAcentral. Lineage: Bacteria; Bacillati; Bacillota.
UCACCCAGGCGACGAUGGAUAGCCGGCCURARAGGKGKGCCGSCCACCMCUGGGACYGARAUACGGGCCCARGCUCCUACSGGGGGGCAGCAGGKGGGGAAWWWUGCCCAUGGGSGAAAGCCUGAUGCAGCGACSCCGCGKGAGGGAAGAARGKUUUYSGRUCGUAAACCUCUGUCCAGRRGGGARGAAGGGAAGKGACGGUACCUUUGGAGGAAGCCCCCGGCUAACUACGUKCCAGCAGCCGCGGUAAUACGUAGGGGGCGAGCGUUGUCCGGAAUUAUUGGGCGUAAAGGGCGCGUAGGCGGUGACACAAGUCAGGUGAUAAAGGCACGGGCUCAACCGGUGUUAGGCACUUGAUACUGUGUUGCUAGAGUGCAGGAGAGGGGGAGUGGAAUUCCAGGUGUAGCGGUGAAAUGCGUAGAUAUCUGGAAGAACACCAGUGGCGAAGGCGGCUCUCUGGACUGCAACUGACGCUGAGGCGCGAAAGCUGGGGGAGCAAACAGGAUUAGAUACCCUGGUAGUCCCAGCCGUAAACGAUGAACACUAGGUGUAGGGGGUAUCGACCCCCCCUGUGCCGGAGCUAACGCAAUAAGUGUUCCGCCUGGGGAGUACGGCCGCAAGGUUGAAACUCAAAUGAAUUGACGG